Molecule: ribosomal RNA, 393 nt
Filed under: uncultured bacterium
Lineage: Bacteria
Description: partial 16S ribosomal RNA
Rfam family: Bacterial small subunit ribosomal RNA
Source: RNAcentral
AUACGGAGGACGCGAGCGUUAUCCGGAUUCAUUGGGUUUAAAGGGUGCGCAGGCGGCCGUGCAAGUCAGCGGUGAAAGCCCGGGGCUCAACCCCGGAAGUGCCGUUGAUACUGCAUGGCUGGAAUGCGGUCGAGGCGGGCGGAACGUGGCGGGUAGCGGGGGAAUGCGUAGUUAAGCCACAGAACGCCGAUAGCGGAGGCAGCUCGCCAGGCCUGCAUUGACGCUCGGGCACGAAAGCGUGGGGAUCGAACAGGAUUAGAUACCCUGGUAGUCCACGCCGUAAACGAUGGGCGCUCGUCGUCGGCGGCAGACAGUCGGCGGCCAAGCGAAAGCGAUAAGCGCCCCACCUGGGGAGUACGGUCGCAAGGUUGAAACUCAAAGGAAUUGACGGGG